AACGAACGCUGGCGGCAUGCCUAACACAUGCAAGUCGAACGAGACCUUCGGGUCUAGUGGCGCACGGGUGCGUAACGCGUGGGAACCUGCCCUUAGGUUAGGAAUAACUCCCCGAAAGGGGUGCUAAUACCGGAGAAUGUCUUCGGACCAAAGAUGUAUCGCCUUUGGAUGGGCGCGGGUUAGUUUCGCUAGUUGGUAGGGUAAAAGCCUACCAAGGCGACGAUCCAUAGCUGGUCUGAGAGGAUGACCAGCUAGACUGGGACUGAGACACGGCCCAGACUGCUACGGGAGGCAGCAGUGGGGAAUAUUGUACGAUGGGCGAAAGCCUGAUCCAGCAAUGCGGCGUGAGUGAUGAAGGCCUUAGGGUUGUAAAGCUCUUUUACCCGGGAUGAUAAUGACAGUACCGGGAGAAUAAGCGCCGGCUAACUCCGUG
Molecule: ribosomal RNA, 433 nt
Filed under: uncultured bacterium
Lineage: Bacteria
Description: partial 16S ribosomal RNA
Rfam family: Bacterial small subunit ribosomal RNA
Source: RNAcentral